Long non-coding RNA from Scylla paramamosain (green mud crab), 893 nucleotides. RefSeq lists it as uncharacterized. The transcript has 2 exons. NCBI's taxonomy places the organism in Eukaryota, Metazoa, Arthropoda, Malacostraca, Decapoda, Portunidae. The record is from RefSeq and is a predicted model, not a curated record.
ACACUGAAAAAAUAUAACUUUGUUUUUCACUCUCCUUAGUCAGCUGAUCAGUUCCUCUUCUUCUUGUGGCCUUUCAUGUGUACACAUUGCGGGGCUUGAACGGGGCGGGGCAGCGUAUGGAUUUUAGUAGGUAAUUUUAAUUGGUUCCUUGUUUUAAUAUUAUUUUGUGAGUUAAUGAUAUUUAUUUAGUCAUUGUUGUUAUUGAUAUUAUUUCAUCACUAUUUUUUUUUAACGUCAAGGCAUUUAAACACACACACACACACAAAUCAAUAGUUAAAUGUGAGAAUAACCCAUUACUUAUUUUUCUUUUUUUUCAUUUCUUCAGUAACAUAUCAACGCAUUCAAAUCAUGACAAAAAAAAUAAAUGAAAAAAGAAAAAAAAAUCGCAAAUUGACCAUACAAAAAAUAUUCAUAAUCCAAGAAAGCAGAAAAAAACAGGAAAACUGUGAAAAUAACCCAUUUCUUACCCAUAUAAAUAUCCUGCCCCGCCCCGUUCCAGCCCCGCAGUGUCCAGUGGCCGCCGUGGGACAAACCCAGGAGGAAAAGACUGAAAAAAAACCUGUGAUAUUUCUCAAGAUUUUUCGCACCUUGGACAAGACAGAGACAAGAGAACAUGUAGGAUAAAUGAUACAAGUCCCAGGAACCCUUUAAUACCCUGCAGAAGGCGCGGAAGGACUUGGAAAUGGGUUAAAUAAGGAGAAAUAUCAGAGGGCGGUCCACUCUUGUCUUUCCUGGGAGGAAGGAAGCGCCGCGCCGUCCUGCCCCGCGAGGUGUGCGCUGCUUCACGUUUGCUUUUAUUGUAACUUUCUUUCUAGAAUUUAAGUUAUUUUCAUUCAAUUCUUUGUUUAUGGCACAACAUAAAUCCACAAAAUAAAAUGAAUAAAAUAAAUAAA